GCAACUGUAAGGUAUUUACACCUGGGUGGAUGGCCAGAGAUGUGUUGACUUCUCUGAUGGUAUAUACUCGGAGGACCUCCAGCAGGAAGGAGGCAUUGAUGGCCAUCAUCCAAGCAAAUGUUUCACUAUUGAAAUUGAGGUAUUUGUGAUAGUACGCCCGGGUCUUUCGCUCGUACAUGGUCAAUUUCUCAACAAGAUUGUGAAACUUGA
RNAcentral lists this unclassified non-coding RNA (210 nucleotides) under Hevea brasiliensis (rubber tree). The record is from RNAcentral. Lineage: Eukaryota; Viridiplantae; Streptophyta; Magnoliopsida; Malpighiales; Euphorbiaceae.